Long non-coding RNA from Poecilia latipinna (sailfin molly), 593 nucleotides. RefSeq lists it as uncharacterized. The record is from RefSeq and is a predicted model, not a curated record. NCBI's taxonomy places the organism in Eukaryota, Metazoa, Chordata, Actinopteri, Cyprinodontiformes, Poeciliidae. The transcript is spliced from 3 exons.
UGAAAAAGACACUGAGCGCAACUUCCUUCUUCGCACAAUUUAAAUAAAAAUGGAGCGGCGUCAGCUUUUAGCUGUUGUGGGAUUUCUCUUUUAUCUUUGGCUAAAAACCACAAGUCAUUUCUCCUGCUAGCGCUCGGCUAACUCGUUUGAUUUGGUUGUAUUUUCCCAUAAUGCCCUGCUCUACAAUCCGCUUCCUGCUUCUUUCCCCAACCUUGGGAAAGCAGUCCACCUUUCUCCAGGAGACAACGUCCUUCUGUUUACCGGACCAGACACUCUACGCGCUUAGCUUCAGGUCAAAGGUCAUGAUUUUAAAGCAACAACAAAACCGCAUCACCUCCAAAAAGCAGCAAAAUGAGAGAAAGAAAAUCCUCAGCACAUCUUACUCCCACUGAACUUCAACAAAGAAGUGUUUCCAUUUUCACUGCUGGCCGAACAUGGAGAGAUGAAAUCCAUCUGGAAACAUAUAAACAUCUCAUAAGUGUGUGUUGUUCCAUUCUAAAGACACCAUUCAUCAAAACUAAUCACAGGAGCCCAAAAUAAAUCUCCGGUUCCAUUCCUCACAUUUCAUGAGGCAGCACAUGGACCGUUCAGCU